CUCCUGUCGGCCAGCCGGCGUGGCUGGGGCUGCUCACUAAUGCUUACUGGUUAACUGGUUACUAUUUUACAUCCCUACCAGACACACAGGUAUAUGCCCUGUCCUCUAAAUCACUGUGAAUUAUUGAGAUUCCAUUUCCUGCUUGCUUGGUGUGGAGAGCUCACCUAGCAACUGCCCAGCUGACUGUGCUGGCUACAUGCUGCAGGCUGCUCUAGCCUGGUGUACACAGGAGGUGGUGGGUGUCCUGAGUCUGUGAGAAGAGGCUGUGCAGGCACAGCUCCAAUCCAGCUACUGAAAAGUCAAUAUCUACGAGCAAAUCGCUUGGGGCAUGGGGGAAAAGGGCUACAAAAGGGACCCGCAGGAAUGCCACAUGAAAGCCAAGGAGCUGCGGCAGGCGUAACAAAAGGCAAUGGUGUCUGACAGUCACUCUGGUGCAGAGCCACAGAUUUGCUGCUUUUACAAAGAGCUGCAUGCAUGUCUCAGCGGAGACACCACCACCACCCCCAAGAGCUCUGCGGAUACUUCAGAGGAGUCAGAGUCACAGACCCCAGAGUGAACAGUGAGGAGGAGUUGUUGGAUGAGGAAGAGCAGGAGGAGGAGUAUGGGGGAGAGGCGACCAGUGAUUCAGUAGCACAGCAAGCCAGGACCUGUGUUUUGAGUCCAGCGCAGGCAAGUCUGAUGCAGGGGAAAGAACCUCUGAACCAGUGCUCUACCAUCUGCAGCUGCUCCGUGAAUGCCAACAACAACCUUGAAUUAUUUCUUUCCAUAUCCCACAGCAAGCUGAUCUCCAAAGAAUUGUCAAGUUUCCCACGGUUCCUCUGCAGAUACUGCAGGAUCAGGUGCAUUGUGCUUGCAACACUCAUCAAAACAGUGCAGAACUGUGCAUGCUUCUCAGAGAGAUGGAGGAUGCACGGGUUUGCACGGCUUUUGAAAAAAUGCAUGAAACAUUAUGGGAUGCAGAUAAAAUUCUGGGAUGGAAAAAACUACAUCACGGAACAUUGAAACCAUGUUCCCAAUCACUCCUGUAUGACUCGUUUGCCCCAAUGAGACAUUGUAAACCCUUCCCAAAACACCCUGUGCUAGAUGGUGGUGAGUUCCACAGUGGGAUAGCUACCCAGGGUGCACUGCUGUCUGCAUCAAUGCAAGCAUUGCCAGUGAGGAUGCGCACUGAUGACACAAGAAGCAUCGUGUAGACAUGCAAAAGAGAUGUAAUUACUGCAGCAGCUGUACGUUGACAUAACUCAGGUCGACCUAAUUUUGUAAUGCAGACUUGCUCUGAACCAGUAAGAGUAUUUUUGCCAAUAUAACUAACAGUUCUUUGAAUGAAAUAAGCUGUACCAGCAAAAGGACCUUUUUCUGAGUAUAACUUUGUUUAUACUGGGCUUUUGUUGGUAUGGCUACGUUGGUUGGGGGAGUGAUUUCCCUCCCUCAUGCCUAACUGAUAUAAAAAGGAAACGGGUGGUAGUAUUUGUAUUUUCCUUUUUUUGGGAUGGGAUGCAGGGGGGAGGUUUUGUUUUUUGUAUCAGCUCUGGCCAGUAAAUAUCUUAUGAGUAUGAAGCUUCACUCUCUCUAGCUUCUAGAAAGGAAGAGCCUUCUGUUUCUUCUCCCACCAUCAGAGCCGUCUAGCUAUUGCAGGGAGCAGAAUUAUUCUCUAUCCUAGCAAAUAACCCCAGAGCAUACUUCUACUACUCCUUUUUCCUAGGCAGCAGCAGCAGAGUGAAAUGGAUGUACUUGACAGUUUCACACUGACAACUGCAAAAGUUUGAAAAGCAGCUGUGUGACUGACCAGAUUUUUUAAGUUUGUUUCAUAGAAUAUCAGGGUUGGAAGGGACCUCAGCAGGUCAUCUCGUCCAACCCCCUGCUCAAAGCAGAGCCAAUCCCCAAUUUUUGCCCCAGAUCCCUAAAUGGCCCCCUCAAGGAUUGAACUCUUAACCCUGGGUUUAGCAGGCCAAUGCUCAAACCACUGAGCUAUCCCUCCCCUGUGCUGGUACUGCUUGGCAACGUUAUAAAGAUGAGCAGACGAACAGAGCUGUGUUUGUGAAGUAAAGAAGGCAACACUGAUUUUUUUAUGUUCACAUUUAGAAGGUUAUUAUUGCAGUCAGAAAAGCAAGGAACGUUUAAAUCAAAACUUCGGCAAAAUAUCUACUAAUGGCUUGGCAGCAGGGAAAGCUUACUACUUACCACUGGUUAAUGGAUUUUGCAAGUCUUGCUGAAAACCAGCAUCAUCAUAGUAUAUGGCCAUGCUGCUUACAGAGAAUCAAAUUGACAUAUAUAGAUUACCUAUUUUUUCCCUUGCCCAUGUCUGUCAGUCCUUAGAUUAAGAGCUCCUCAGACCUUACACUGCCACCCUUCUUGAAUGCCUGUACUGUGCUUAGCAUAUUGUGGGCACGACUGUAAAUAUUAAAAGAUAACAAUGUCUCAA
This is a long non-coding RNA of Caretta caretta (loggerhead turtle), 2422 nucleotides long. RefSeq lists it as uncharacterized. Lineage: Eukaryota; Metazoa; Chordata; Testudines; Cheloniidae. The record is from RefSeq and is a predicted model, not a curated record.